ACGCCCAACACACAAAACAAGCGGUGAAUGCUUUGGGGUGGGGUGACUGCGUACCUUUUGUAUAAUGGGUCAGCGACUUAUAUUCUGUAGCAAGGUUAACCGAAUAGGGGAGCCGGAGGGAAACCGAGUCUUAAUUGGGCGUUAAGUUGCAGGGUAUAGACCCGAAACCCGGUGAUCUAGCCAUGGGCAGGUUGAAGGUUGGGUAACACUAACUGGAGGACCGAACCGACUAAUGUUGAAAAAUUAGCGGAUGACCUGUGGCUGGGGGUGAAAGGCCAAUCAAACCGGGAGAUAGCUGGUUCUCCCCGAAAGCUAUUUAGGUAGCGCCUCGUGAAUUCAUCUCCGGGGGUAGAGCACUGUUUCGGCUAGGGGGCCAUCCCGGCUUACCAACCCGAUGCAAACUGCGAAUACCGGAGAAUGUUAUCACGGGAGACACACGGCGGGUGCUAACGUCCGUCGUGAAGAGGGAAACAACCCAGACCGCCAGCUAAGGUCCCAAAGUCAUGGUUAAGUGGGAAACGAUGUGGGAAGGCCCAGACAGCCAGGAUGUUGGCUUAGAAGCAGCCAUCAUUUAAAGAAAGCGUAAUAGCUCACUGGUCGAGUCGGCCUGCGCGGAAGAUGUAACGGGGC
Molecule: ribosomal RNA, 630 nt
Filed under: Salmonella enterica subsp. enterica
Lineage: Bacteria; Pseudomonadati; Pseudomonadota; Gammaproteobacteria; Enterobacterales; Enterobacteriaceae
Description: partial 23S ribosomal RNA
Rfam family: Bacterial large subunit ribosomal RNA
Source: RNAcentral